UAACAAAACAUGGUUUUUUGAUAAUAAUUAAAAAUCGGUUCUGCUCACUGAAUAGUUAUAUUUAAAGAGCUGCAGUAUUCUGACUGUGCAAAGGUAGCAAAGUCAUUUGUUUUUUUAUUGGAAACUGGAAUGAAAGAAUUGAUGAGAUAUAUACUGUCUCGGUAUAAUUUAUAGAAAUUGAAAUUUAAGUUAAAAUUCUUAAAUUAUUUUAUUAGACGAGAAGACCCUAUAGAAUUUUAUAUAAUUUAUAAGUUUUUUUUAAUUAGAUUCAUUAAAGGAGGAAAUUUGUAUAUUAUAUUUGAUUGGGAGGAUUUUUAAAUUUAUAGAACUUUAAAUUUUAUGAAACAAUUAUUUUUGAAAAAUUGAGUUUGUAAUAAUUAAAAGAUUAAAUUACCUUAGGGAUAACAGCGUAAUAUUUUUGGAGAGAUCAUAUUAAUAAAAGUGUUUGCGACCUCGAUGUUGAAUUAAGAUAUAAAUUAAAUGUAGAAGUUUAAUAUUUAAGUUUGUUCAACUUUUAAAAUCUUACGUGAUCUGAGUUC
This 539-nucleotide ribosomal RNA is filed under the name Neozeleboria sp. MSPW29. RNAcentral's name for it is "partial 16S ribosomal RNA". The stretch from base 401 to 539 matches the Rfam family "Bacterial large subunit ribosomal RNA", at positions 2473 to 2612 of the family's 2925-position model. Lineage: Eukaryota; Metazoa; Arthropoda; Insecta; Hymenoptera; Thynnidae. The record is from RNAcentral.